UGUGCUCCGGGCGUCGCUGGGUGCAUGGCUCCUGUGGGAUGAGGGGAGGUGGAUGGGAUAAACUCUCACAAUUCCCAGCAUCCUGAGUCUCCAUAUUCUCCAAUCACAUGGAGAAUAAGGCUUGCACUUGAUGUGAGAAGGAAACACAGCCAUGAACAAAAGAGAUCCUGAUCACAGCAAGAAAUGAAAUGAAGAACGUGGAAGCCAUGGCUGUGCAGCAGUUUGGUUCAAGCCUGAGUCACGGUAAAAUAUUCCCUCUUACUGAGACAGGAACAUAAAAUUAUUGUGCUGGAUUAAAUCCUUUGUCCUUCAGAUGCA
Melospiza melodia melodia is the source of this 318-nucleotide long non-coding RNA. RefSeq lists it as uncharacterized. The record is from RefSeq and is a predicted model, not a curated record. The transcript is spliced from 2 exons. Lineage: Eukaryota; Metazoa; Chordata; Aves; Passeriformes; Passerellidae.